Nicotiana tabacum (common tobacco) is the source of this 1937-nucleotide non-coding RNA. NCBI's taxonomy places the organism in Eukaryota, Viridiplantae, Streptophyta, Magnoliopsida, Solanales, Solanaceae. The record is from RefSeq and is a predicted model, not a curated record.
UAGUAUAGGGAGAGAUGACAUAAGGAGGCGGCUAACAAAUAAAUACAAUUGAAAAGAAAUAAACAGCACAAUUGAUUUGUUUCCCUCUUAAGGUUUUUUCCCAAAUACAGAACGCAGGGUUUUUUCCCUCUCUAAGAUGGCUCUCAAUUUCUGAAACCCUUCACAUUGCAAUACCAAAUUCUAGGGCUCAAGGGUUUCACCAAAAUACAAUUAUUCUCGACCCAAGGCUUUCCUCUCAUGGUCAACAAUCCUCGGCAAAGGCCUGAAGAAGCUUGUAUGAGCAAGUUCUCAGAGAUACUUAUGGUGAUCUUAGUGAUGAUAUCAUUGAUAAACAAAUUGAAGCUGACUUUCCACGAUGGUUCAAAGAUUAUGUAUGGAAUAACAUAAAGUAGUUAUUACUGAAGAACAUAUCAUUUAAUAAAUAAAUCUAACUUAUUAUUAUUAUUAUUAUUAUUAUUAUUAUUAUUAUUAUUAUUAUUAUACAAUAGGUCAAUAAAAAUCUACAAGAGACAUUGAAUCCGUAUUUGCAAGUCUUAGCAGAGGGACCACUAAGAAAGGCAACAUCAUAUCCUGUUUAUAUUGCGAAUGGAUACAAAUUUUGCACUUCUGCAUGGGGUGAAGGAAGAAAAAUAUUUAACAGUGGGGUAUCUGUUAGUGGCAUCGGACAUGAUGGCACUACAAAUGAAUAUUAUGGUGUUAUUAAGGAGAUUAUCAAAUUAGAAUGGACAAGGACCACUCAAAAGUUAGUUUUAUUUUAUUGUGAUUGGUUUGAUCCGUCUAAACAUGGCAUGAAAGUUGAUAGCCAAUUUGAUAAGUUCAGCUGCUGCCAACUACCAAUUCUAGAAGCCCACCAUUGUUGAAGCCACCAACCCAUUCUAGAAGCCACCAUUGUUGAAGCCUCCAUUGUUGAAUGAAGAAUUCAACCACCAACCACCUUCUUUAAGGCUAUAAAUAGAGCCUUAUGUUUUACACAGAAACAUCAAUCCAGAGAGAUUGAAAUACAAUCCAGGAAGAGAUUGUGAGAACAAAAAGAGAGUUUGGUGAGGUUUUUGUAGAGAGAAAUUCUUGGUGUAAAUUCUCUAUAAUUCUAUUCUUGUGAAAUAGAGUUGUUUUUCCUCCCAAAUAAUCUUCAUAUUGAUCUGAGAAUCACAACAAGUGGUAUCAGAGCCUUCGAUUCUGUGUUCAUCGAGAAAUAUCGGAACACUGAAAAUUUCAACCCGGAUUUACGUUUUUUCGAAAACGUGAUCUUCGGUGUGUUUUGAUCAUUUCAUUAGAUUCCUUGCGUCGAUACGAAUUCAACGCAAUUUUCCGGAGGCCAAACAAAGCUAAAACGAAGAAGUUAUGACAAUUUUUUUUCUUCUGCCCAAGGAAGAAGAUGAUGAAUAGUAACUGCACAGUCAGCGCCACAUCAUCAUCCAGUCAGCGCCACAUCAUCAUCCAGUCAGCGUCACGUCAGCAUCCAGUCAUCGCCACGUCAGCAUCCAGUCAUCGCCACGUCAACAUCCAGUCAGCGCCACGUCAGCAUCCAGUCAUCAUAAUUUUUUUAGAAAUUUAUGAAAUAACCCCUGAAGUUACUGAAAUUAUAAAUCUGCCCCACAAGUUCAGUAUAUUUUCGAUUUAACCCCAAAAGUUUUGUGUAAAUUUUGAAAAUUUUCUGGAGGCCCUAUUUUGUCCCAAGAAGAGUCAAUCCUACCAUUUUUCACCAUUCCGGACGUGUUGGUGAGUUCCGUUUGGUGAGAUUCUGCUCCAAAAUUUUGACCAAGCCAUUUUAAAGACAUAAUGGAAGAGUCAUCAUCAUCUGGAGCUAUGAUAAAGCUUACUGCCACAAAUUACACAUUGUGGAGACCUCGGAUGGAAGAUCUCCUCAGUUGUAAAGAUUUGUUUGAUCCCAUAGAAGCAAAGGGUAGGAACCCCGAUUCCACCAAAGAAGCAGAGUG